GACGAACGCUGGCGGCGUGCUUAACACAUGCAAGUCGAACGGAAAGGCCCGCUUUUCCUGGUGGACUGCGGGGACUAACGGGGCGAACGGGCGAGUAUCACGUGCGUGAUCUGUUGGCAACUCGUGUAGAAGCUGGGGAAACUGCGGGUAAUGCGCGCCUGGUCCGCGGGGUGGGGUGGGAGGUGGCAGACGUUGUGCAUGUGCUCGGGGUUGAGCAGGCGGUCUAUCAGCUUGUGGGUGGGGUCAUGGCCUACCAAGGCGGCGACGGGUAGCCGGCCUGGGAGGGUGGGCGGCCACAUUGGGACUGAGAUACGGCCCCGACUCCUACGGGAGGCAGCAGUGGGGAAUAUUGAGCGAUGGGCGGAAGCCUGAGGCAGCGACGCCGCGUGGGGGAUGACGGCCUUCGGGUUGUAAACUCCUUUCGACCGCGAGGAAGCCACCUGGUUGGAAGGGUGGUGACGGUAGUGGUAGAAGAAGCACCGGCUAACUACGUG
RNAcentral lists this ribosomal RNA (494 nucleotides) under uncultured bacterium. RNAcentral's name for it is "partial 16S ribosomal RNA". It matches the Rfam family "Bacterial small subunit ribosomal RNA", at positions 28 to 507 of the family's 1533-position model. The record is from RNAcentral.